Molecule: ribosomal RNA, 407 nt
Filed under: uncultured bacterium
Lineage: Bacteria
Description: partial 16S ribosomal RNA
Rfam family: Bacterial small subunit ribosomal RNA
Source: RNAcentral
AUUGAACGCUGGCGGCAGGCCUAACACAUGCAAGUCGAGCGGAGGGGCGGAGGGGUGCGUGUUGCUUAGGAAUCUGACAGUUCGUGGGGGAUAAGGUCAGGAAAUGGGCGCUGAUACAGCAUACUAUCAGCUGAGCCUAGGUCGGAUUAGCUAGUGGGUGGGGUAAAGGCCUACCAUGGCGACGAUCCGUAACUGGUCUGAGAGGAGGAUCAGCCACACUGGAACUGAGACACGGUCCAGACUCCUACGGGAGGCAGCAGUGGGGAAUAUUGGACAAUGGGCGAAAGCCUGAUCCAGCCAUGCCGCGUGUGUGAAGAAGGUCUUCGGGUUGUAAAGCACUUUAAGCUGGGAGGCGUUACCCGCAGAAGAAGCACCGGCUAACUCCGUGCCAGCAGCCGCGGUAAUUC